This 460-nucleotide ribosomal RNA is filed under the name uncultured bacterium. RNAcentral's name for it is "partial 16S ribosomal RNA". It matches the Rfam family "Bacterial small subunit ribosomal RNA", at positions 338 to 795 of the family's 1533-position model. The record is from RNAcentral.
CCUACGGGGUGCAGCAGUGAGGAAUAUUGGUCAAUGGACGCAAGUCUGAACCAGCCAUGCCGCGUGAAGGAAGACGGCUCUAUGGGUUGUAAACUGCUUUUGUACGAGGGUAAACGCAGAUACGCGUAUCUUUCUGAAAGUAUCGUACGAAUAAGGAUCGGCUAACUCCGUGCCAGCAGCCGCGGUAAUACGGAGGAUCCAAGCGUUAUCCGGAUUUAUUGGGUUUAAAGGGUGCGUAGGCGGUAGGAUAAGUUAGAGGUGAAAUCCGGAGGCUCAACUGUGGAAUUGCCUUUGAUACUGGCAGGCUAGAGAGUAGUUGCGGUAGGCGGAAUGUAUGGUGUAGCGGUGAAAUGCUUAGAGAUCAUACAGAACACCGAUUGCGAAGGCAGCUUACCAAGCUACGUCUGACGUUGAGGCACGAAAGCGUGGGGAGCAAACAGGAUUAGAUACCCUUGUAGUC